CGGAAACCACUUAGCCCACCUCCGGACUCACACCGGAGAAAAGCCGUAUGUCUGCUAUCAGUGCGGGAGAGGCUUUGCACAGCAGUCGAAUCUCAAGCGCCAUCUGAGAGGGGUGCACUCUAUAUACACUCCAACCAAGCAGCAGAUGUGGCCGAGCCG
Molecule: non-coding RNA, 159 nt
Filed under: Partenskyella glossopodia
Lineage: Eukaryota; Cercozoa; Chlorarachniophyceae
Source: RNAcentral